This 1838-nucleotide long non-coding RNA is filed under the name Trifolium pratense (red clover). Its description in RNAcentral is "long non-coding RNA (TPRA_LNC002147)". Lineage: Eukaryota; Viridiplantae; Streptophyta; Magnoliopsida; Fabales; Fabaceae. The record is from RNAcentral.
UUUUUCAUUUCUCAACUUUCUUUCUCUCUCUUCUAUCUUUUCUCUCUCUGCUACGCACUCUUUCUCUCUCUGUCGCCUAUUCAUGAAGAACAACAAGAACACCUCCGUCUCGUCCCCGGAUUCCGGCGGCUGGCCAUCACGAAUCUCAUACUCCGGCGAGCCACCACACUAGCUCGUCCUUCACCACCACAUCCACCACCAUCACACCUACAAAUCACUAGAAAUUGUUCGCCGCCUUUAUUCCUCCGCGCUGUGAAGCAUACUCGCCGAUUUCAUUCUUUCGUUUUCAAAAGCCUCUCUGGUAAUCUUUCGAUUUCAUUCUUUUUUCUUCUCACCGAUUUCAUAAGCUACUUGCAUUACUUCUCACUGAUUUUGAUUUCUUCAUUUCUUCUUCUCUUAGGUGGGUUCAAUUCCUCAAAUUUUGAUCUUGCAUGUUUGAAAUCUUCCCUGAAAUUGGAUCUUUGGAUGUCAAUCAGGUACCUAGAAUAAUAUCAUCUCUCUUUCAUACUAUUUUUCGUUAUUUAUUUUAAUUUUUGCAGAAUGCAUUCCAGUGAUAAAAUUGAAUUUUUAUCAAUUGGUUCAGAUUAAUCAAACCCCAUAUGAAUUUUGUGUAUUUUGUGCAAAACAAAGUUAAAGCUUUGAUUUUUAAUGAUUUAUGUUUUGUGGGGUUUGUUUGUUUGUGUUGGACAGGUAGUUGAAGUUUCAACUUCAAAUCUGGAAAACAUGGACAUGUUAAGUGUUGCUUUGUUGGUUUUCACAUCUUCACUGGCCAAAAACAUGAAGAUAUUGUUCCUUCUUCUCAUAACUGUCAUGCAUGGUUUUCAUUUUAAUAUGAGGUUAUUUUUUGGGUUUGGAAUAUAUUUUUAAUUAGUGAUUAACUAAGAUGUGUUUGUUUGUUAUUACAACAGGUUCCUCAUAUCAAUUGUACUCAUAAACUUGCUAAAUAUGAGGUAGUUCGGCGGCAGCUUCCGACACAGAGGUAAGGAUUUGUUUCUAUGUAAUUAAAACCAUGGCUAUCACUAAUUAGCUGCAUACUAUUCUUACCAAAUAAUUAUUGAUUUGUUUCUAUGUAUAUGCAGGGAACAAUCUUUGUUAAAUUUUGUAGCUUUACUGUGCUGUUUCGAUUUUUUUUUAUUAAAGAUUACAUUUUUACUUUGUUUUGUUUGAAUUCUUUUUCUACUCUUUUUAUCGAUUUUGAUUCAUGGGUUUGGAAAUUACAACUAUGCAAUAGAGUUUAAACUUGAAUUAGGUGUCACUGUUAACAAUAUUAUUUAAAUGCACUCCUGUCUUUGAGUAGAGAAAAGUCUAGAUAUGGCCGCAAGAAGAAAAUGCUUUUGAUUGAUCUCUUUGAGAAUUGUAAUAAUUUUCAGCAUUGUCCUUGUGAUCAGAAGUUGUUGGAACACCAAAAUAUAACAAUUUUACAUAUGCUGAUGUACAUAUCCAUAAGUUCACUUGCCAACUGAACUAUGAAGCUGAAUUUUAAUUGUUGUACUCAUGCUGGCUAGAUAUUGUGGUAGUUUUUCUCUUAAGUGACAGGGGAGACAUGAUGGGUUGGCUUUUUUGAGUUAAAUUGUGUUCUGGGUCAAUUUAAAGUUUAUAGCAUAUAGGUUUGCUUACAGCAUAGGGUAUAGUGCUUUACUGAAUUGCUUAUUCAUUAUUUUUUUAAUGUUAUGUAUUAUAGAGGUUUAUUUAAGGUGGUAACGGAAGGAGGAUUUGAUGCCAUUAUUUCAGUGAACUCUUGUGACCAUGUUGAUGAAUUCCUUGAUUUUAUGUAUUGCCAUGGUUAAUAAUACGUAGCUUGGUGUUGCAAUAGAAGUUGUGUUACCUUCUUAUUUCNN